AACCGCCUACGGGACGCAGCAGUGAGGAAUAUUGGUCAAUGGGCGGAAGCCUGAACCAGCCACGUCGCGUGAGGGAAUAAGGCCCUACGGGUCGUAAACCUCUUUUGCCGGGGAGCAAGAGCCGGAACGAGUCCCGGUCCGGAGAGUACCCGGAGAAAAAGCAUCGGCUAACUCCGUGCCAGCAGCCGCGGUAAUACGGAGGAUGCGAGCGUUAUCCGGAUUUAUUGGGUUUAAAGGGUGCGUAGGCGGGCUUUUAAGUCAGCGGUAAAAAUUCGGGGCUCAACCCCGUCCGGCCGUUGAAACUG
RNAcentral lists this ribosomal RNA (305 nucleotides) under uncultured bacterium. Its description in RNAcentral is "bacterial SSU rRNA". It matches the Rfam family "Bacterial small subunit ribosomal RNA", at positions 333 to 635 of the family's 1533-position model. The record is from RNAcentral.